GCCAGCAGCCAUAUCACCUUGCAACUCACAACUGGUAACCCACUGAAGCUAAGCAGGCGUGAGCCUGGUCAGUACCUGGAUGGGAGACCUCCUGGGAAAAACUAAGGUUGCUGCUGGAA
Ribosomal RNA from Lepisosteus oculatus (spotted gar), 119 nucleotides. The record is from Ensembl. NCBI's taxonomy places the organism in Eukaryota, Metazoa, Chordata, Actinopteri, Semionotiformes, Lepisosteidae.